AGUGAACGCUGGCGGUAGGCCUAACACAUGCAAGUCGAACGGCAGCACAGUAAGAGCUUGCUCUUACGGGUGGCGAGUGGCGGACGGGUGAGGAAUACAUCGGAAUCUACUUUUUCGUGGGGGAUAACGUAGGGAAACUUACGCUAAUACCGCAUACGACCUACGGGUGAAAGCAGGGGAUCUUCGGACCUUGCGCGAUUGAAUGCGCCGAUGUCGGAUUAGCUAGUUGGCGGGGUAAAGGCCCACCAAGGCGACGAUCCGUAGCUGGUCUGAGAGGAUGAUCAGCCACACGGGAACUGAGACACGGUCCAGACUCCUACGGGAGGCAGCAGUGGGGAAUAUUGGACAAUGGGCGCAAGCCUGAUCCAGCCAUACCGCGUGGGUGAAGAAGGCCUUCGGGUUGGAAAGCCCGUUUGUUGGGAAAGAAAAGCAGCAGGUUAAUACCCCGCUGUUCUGACGGUACCCAAAGAAUAAGCACCGGCUAACUUCGUG
This 492-nucleotide ribosomal RNA is filed under the name uncultured bacterium. RNAcentral's name for it is "partial 16S ribosomal RNA". It matches the Rfam family "Bacterial small subunit ribosomal RNA", at positions 29 to 507 of the family's 1533-position model. The record is from RNAcentral.